This 590-nucleotide ribosomal RNA is filed under the name uncultured bacterium. Its description in RNAcentral is "partial 16S ribosomal RNA". It matches the Rfam family "Bacterial small subunit ribosomal RNA", at positions 355 to 941 of the family's 1533-position model. The record is from RNAcentral.
UGGGGAAUAUUGGACAAUGGGCGAAAGCCUGAUCCAGCCAUGCCGCGUGUGUGAAGAAGGCCUUUUGGUUGUAAAGCACUUUAAGCGAGGAGGAGGCUACUUGGAUUAAUACUCUAGGAUAGUGGACGUUACUCGCAGAAUAAGCACCGGCUAACUCUGUGCCAGCAGCCGCGGUAAUACAGAGGGUGCGGGCGUUAAUCGGAUUUACUGGGCGUAAAGCGUGCGUAGGCGGCUUUUAAGUCGGAUGUGAAAUCCCUGAGCUUAACUUAGGAAUUGCAUUCGAUACUGGGAAGCUAGAGUAUGGGAGAGGAUGGUAGAAUUCCAGGUGUAGCGGUGAAAUGCGUAGAGAUCUGGAGGAAUACCGAUGGCGAAGGCAGCCAUCUGGCCUAAUACUGACGCUGAGGUACGAAAGCAUGGGGAGCAAACAGGAUUAGAUACCCUGGUAGUCCAUGCCGUAAACGAUGUCUACUAGCCGUUGGGGCCUUUGAGGCUUUAGUGGCGCAGCUAACGCGAUAAGUAGACCGCCUGGGGAGUACGGUCGCAAGACUAAAACUCAAAGGGAAUUUGACGGGGGUCAUAGCUGUUUCCUG